This 352-nucleotide ribosomal RNA is filed under the name uncultured bacterium. RNAcentral's name for it is "bacterial SSU rRNA". It matches the Rfam family "Bacterial small subunit ribosomal RNA", at positions 30 to 380 of the family's 1533-position model. The record is from RNAcentral.
AUUGAACGCUGGCGGCGAGGCCUAACACAUGCAAGUCGAGCGGCAGCACGGGUACUUGUACCUGGUGGCGAGCGGCGGACGGGUGAGUAAUGCCUAGGAAUCUGCCUAGUAGUGGGGGAUAACGUUCGGAAACGGACGCUAAUACCGCAUACGUCCUACGGGAGAAAGUGGGGGAUCUUCGGACCUCACGCUAUUAGAUGAGCCUAGGUCGGAUUAGCUAGUUGGUAGGGUAAAGGCCACCAAGGCUACGAUCCGUAACUGGUCUGAGAGGAUGAUCAGUCACACUGGAACUGAGACACGGUCCANACUCCUACGGGAGGCAGCAGUGGGGAAUAUUGGACAAUGGGCGAAA